Molecule: transfer RNA, 88 nt
Filed under: Phycisphaerae bacterium SM23_30
Lineage: Bacteria; Pseudomonadati; Planctomycetota; Phycisphaerae
Also listed under: 1 other name
Description: tRNA-Ser
Rfam family: tRNA
About the family: Transfer RNA (tRNA) molecules are approximately 80 nucleotides in length. Their secondary structure includes four short double-helical elements and three loops (D, anti-codon, and T loops). Further hydrogen bonds mediate the characteristic L-shaped molecular structure. tRNAs have two regions of fundamental functional importance: the anti-codon, which is responsible for specific mRNA codon recognition, and the 3' end, to which the tRNAs corresponding amino acid is attached (by aminoacyl-tRNA synthetases). tRNAs cope with the degeneracy of the genetic code in two manners: having more than one tRNA (with a specific anti-codon) for a particular amino acid; and 'wobble' base-pairing, i.e. permitting non-standard base-pairing at the 3rd anti-codon position.
Source: RNAcentral
GGAGAGGUGUCCGAGUGGCUUAAGGAGCUGGUCUCGAAAACCGGUGUGCGGUUCACCCGUACCGCGGGUUCGAAUCCCGCCCUCUCCG